This 188-nucleotide small nucleolar RNA is filed under the name Lachancea fermentati. Its description in RNAcentral is "Small nucleolar RNA snR80". It matches the Rfam family "Small nucleolar RNA snR80". Lineage: Eukaryota; Fungi; Ascomycota; Saccharomycetes; Saccharomycetales; Saccharomycetaceae. The record is from Rfam by way of RNAcentral.
GAACGUUUGCAAAAAUUAGUACAGGUACUCCGAAUACAGUUCUUUCAUGCCCUUCCAUUCUAUAUCUGCUUAAGUGCUGAGCUCCUAUUUAGAAGCAAACAAGAUUAAUACCUGUCAGUUACUCACCAAACUAUGCCAUGCAAGUGUAACUUGCUGGGGUUAGAUUGGUCCAUUUCAAUGGCAGACAU